Molecule: ribosomal RNA, 95 nt
Filed under: Caenorhabditis japonica
Lineage: Eukaryota; Metazoa; Nematoda; Chromadorea; Rhabditida; Rhabditidae
Source: RNAcentral
GCUUACGACCAUAUCACGUUGAAUACACGCCAUCCCGUCCGAUCUGGCAAGUUAAGCAACGUUGAGUCCAGUUAGUACUUGGAUCGGAGACGGCC